Non-coding RNA from Pogona vitticeps (central bearded dragon), 916 nucleotides. The record is from RefSeq and is a predicted model, not a curated record. Lineage: Eukaryota; Metazoa; Chordata; Lepidosauria; Squamata; Agamidae.
UUGGCCACCCCUGGUUUAGAGUCUCCGUUCAACCUCGGGAACCUCCAAGGCAAGGCUGGGCCAGGAAAGGCUUUUCUUGGCAAGUCGCCACCCGACAGUUAAGAGGGGGGGGGCAAAGGAAGGCCAGGGUCCGCCUAUGCUAUGGACUCGUUUUCCUAAACUGUGGAGACCAAAGGGGAGUGCGUGAAAGAGCUUUGGCAUCCAUGGGCCACAACAACACGCAAGGUUUCAAGAUCUGCAGAACUCUUCAUCAUUAAGCUAGGAGGUUAAACAAAUUCGGGGAUAGCGGAAACAGGAAGUCGGGAAACUAGGCUUAAUGAGGUGGUCCUGAGGUCUGCUCCGAGGCUAAACAGACUUUGCUCUCUCAGCCGCUCCGCAUGCUAAGGAAGUUUCCUUUCUGCUCGCUACACUUCCAACGGGAUCUGCAGCCAAAACCCUACGCCUGGAGUAUAAAUAGGUUUCAUCUGAUGAACUCAUAUCAGUAGGAGUCAUCGGGAUUCUGAUGCUGCACGAACCGCGUAUUUCGUUUGAAAGGAGAUUUCUAGGGAACCUAAUUUCCAUAGAAUUUAUUUCCAACUUUUUGAACUGAGAUGUCAGAUUCGCGUCCCCAACUGAAUCGCUUGGUUAAUUUACAGAUUUGGCACAUAAAUAUCUUUAUUCCUGCCUAACCAGAAGCCGACACUGUUAACAGCCAAAACACAAGAACAAAACACAUAUUCAAACGAGAGCAAGUUAAUAGUCUUUUAAUUUUGUUCACUUUGAAUACGAAAGAAAAUUAAAGGAGUUACGGGAAGAAAAUCUGUAAUUUAACCUGCAAUAUCAGGACAACUAGGAUUUUUUUGUUAAUAUGAUCUCCUAUGAACUCUUAAUUAUAUUUUUGUCCUUGAAAAAAUGCUUAUAAAUCCAAGCACUUUUU